UGCAAGUCGAACGGUAACAGAGAAUAGCUUGCUAUUUUGCUGACGAGUGGCGGACGGGUGAGUAAUGCUUGGGAAUUUGCCGAAAGGUGGGGGACAACAGUUGGAAACGACUGCUAAUACCGCAUAAUGUCUACGGACCAAAGGUGGCCUCUAUUUAUAUGCUAUCGCUUUUCGAUGAGCCCAAGUGGGAUUAGCUAGUUGGUAAGGUAAUGGCUUACCAAGGCGACGAUCCCUAGCUGGUCUUAGAGGAUGACCAGCCACACUGGAACUGAGACACGGUCCAGACUCCUACGGGAGGCAGCAGUGGGGAAUAUUGCACAAUGGAGGAAACUCUGAUGCAGCCAUGCCGCGUGUGUGAAGAAGGCUUUCGGGUUGUAAAGCACUUUCAGCGAGGAGGAAAGGGUGUUGCUUAAUACGCAACAUCUGUGACGUUACUCGCAGAAGAAGCACCGGCUAACUCCGUGCCAGCAGCCGCGGUAAUACG
Molecule: ribosomal RNA, 484 nt
Filed under: uncultured Psychromonas sp.
Lineage: Bacteria; Pseudomonadati; Pseudomonadota; Gammaproteobacteria; Alteromonadales; Psychromonadaceae
Description: bacterial SSU rRNA
Rfam family: Bacterial small subunit ribosomal RNA
Source: RNAcentral